CCGACGGGUGAGUAACACGUAUGCAAUCCACCUGUAACAGGGGGAGUAACCCGGAGAAAUCCGGACUAAUACCCCAUAAUAUGGGCGCUCCGCAUGGAGAGUCCAUUAAAGAGAGCAAUCUUGGUUACAGACGAGCAUGCGCUCCAUUAGCCAGUUGGCGGGGUAACGGCCCACCAAGGCGACGAUGGAUAGGGGUUCUGAGAGGAAGGUCCCCCACAUUGGAACUGAGACACGGUCCAA
Molecule: ribosomal RNA, 240 nt
Filed under: uncultured bacterium
Lineage: Bacteria
Description: partial 16S ribosomal RNA
Rfam family: Bacterial small subunit ribosomal RNA
Source: RNAcentral